Amphimedon queenslandica is the source of this 276-nucleotide long non-coding RNA. RefSeq lists it as uncharacterized. The transcript is spliced from 3 exons. NCBI's taxonomy places the organism in Eukaryota, Metazoa, Porifera, Demospongiae, Haplosclerida, Niphatidae. The record is from RefSeq and is a predicted model, not a curated record.
AGAUUUGCUCGGAACUUGAAAAGACUUCUAUUGUAAACGUCACUCACUCUCUAGAUCUUUCACUUGGAAUGGCUACCAAUACAUCUCCAGACCAACAGUUGUAUAUUGCUGCUCGAGAUGGAGAUAUUAAAGGAAUGAAAACUGCCCUCUCUAAUGGGGCAGAUAUCAACUGGAAGAUGCCCCCAAGUAAGUGGACUCCAUUACAUGUAGCAGCUCAUUUUAACAAGAGUAAUGCUGUCCAGUGGUUACUCAGUCAAGGUGCUACUAUUGACUCAA